AUUUAAAUAGCUUAAAUAGAGCGUGACACUGAAGAUGUUAAGGUAGUAAUUUUACUUUUAAAUA
Molecule: transfer RNA, 64 nt
Filed under: Libelloides macaronius
Lineage: Eukaryota; Metazoa; Arthropoda; Insecta; Neuroptera; Myrmeleontidae
Description: transfer RNA-Phe
Rfam family: tRNA
About the family: Transfer RNA (tRNA) molecules are approximately 80 nucleotides in length. Their secondary structure includes four short double-helical elements and three loops (D, anti-codon, and T loops).
Source: RNAcentral